CAGGAAGUGUAUCCGACUCAGUCCUGCGUUCGCAAGGCACCCAUCGCAACGCUUGCAUCCCACAGCUAUUCAUUCGUUUGCAGCGUUUUUGUUUCUUGCCCCGUUGUGGAGACAUGUCUUUGACACCACCACCUCAGUCUGACAGAUGAGGAAACGAAGACGCUAGGGGUUAAAGGACUCGCUCAAGGUGACCCGGACUGCAAACCGCAAAGGCAGGACCAGAAUCCAGAUCUGUCCAUGCCAAGGCCGGUCCGGAGCUUCCCCCUCACAGCCAGGAGGAUGAGGAGGGUCCAGAAGGGCCCGCACAAAGGGUGAGCACCCACUCCGUGUUCAGGAGCCUUGCGGGCCCUGAAGGUGCCACCGCGCGUGUGCCUGUCCGGGUGAGCGAGGCAGCGUGCCCAGCGAUUUUCACACGCGGCCUCCUUCUCUCUUUGCAAGGAUCUUAUGAACGGGGGGGGCGUGCAACCGCCUCCUCUUGGUUUCCGGCGGAGAAAGGGAAGCCCAGAGAAGGUAUUUAAAACUCUAUUCAAGCUUAUUUUUUAAAAAGGUACCAACAGACUCAAGAGCCACUAAGCACAGAUUUUCCAAGUGAACCUGUGUUUACUGUAGAAAAAUAGAAGAGACAGAAAAUGUACUCGGAUUCAGAUUCUGGAAGAAUAACACGCAGCAGACACAGCCUCUCGUCAGCUGGUCCCUCAUGAUCAGGAGGCUACUCUAUCCCCUACCCAUUGGAACUCAGGACAGAUAUUGAAACAUGUUCUCUUUCUGAACACACCUUGGUUCAUCCUCCAGGAAGCUUAUCUUUCCAUGGCUCCCAAGUACUACAGAGGGCGGUGCCAAGGGACAAAAGCCGACUCUUCACACACCUUCUGAUAGCACUGCUCCUGGUAGGUAUGGAGAAGGCAGGAGAUAGCUGGUCCUCACACAGCCAUCCCUGGCAGUAUUGAAGUUUAAGGGUUUGUGAGAACAAAACCAUUGCAAAAAAGCUCCUAGGGUUCUGUGGAGAAAGUGCCCAUAACUUAGAACAAGCAGAGAGCUCAUACAGACUGACUUCAGGUAUGGACAGGCACUUCCGUUUUUAUACAGCAAGGGGGACAAGGGUGGUGGUUCUUCAAUGUAGGCCACUUUGUUUUUUCUUUAAGAUUUGCCCGGGGGUGCCUGGGUGGCUCAGUCGGUUAAGCGUCCGACUUCGGCUCAGGUCAUGAUCUCGCAGUUUGUGAGUUUGAGCCCCGCGUCAGGCUCUGUGCUGACAGCUCAGAGCUUGGAGCCUGCUUCGGAUUCUGUCUCCCUAUCUCCCUGCUCCUCCCCUGUUCAUGCUCUGUCUCCCUCAAAAAUAAAUAAACAUUUAAAAAAAAUUAAAAAAAAAAAAAAGAUUUGUCCGGGGGCGGUGCCUGGGUGGCUCAGUCGGUUAAGCAUCCGGCUUUGGCUCAGGUCAUGAUCUCACGGUUUGUGAGUUCGAGCCCCAUGUUAGGCUCUGUGCUGACAGUUCAGAGCCUGGAGCCUGCUUCGGAUUCUGUGUCUCUCCCUCCCUCUACUCCUCCCCUGCUCGUGCUCUCUCUCAAAAAUAAACAUUAACAAAAGUAAAAAAAAAAAAAAAAAAAAAAAGAUGUGCCCAUAUUCAUUGGGGAACAGAGACACAUAUGCUCAUCAUAGUGAUUGUUUCAAGGGACAGACGCCCACCAGAGGAGGUGUAAGGAGAGUUGGGGCUGUAUUGUAAAGGUCCACCUUUCUCCAGGGGAGGACUCCCAGGGCAGGAAAGCAGGUCUCCUGAGCACUGGAAGUAGGAAAGAGAAAGUCAGCCUGCCGAGAAAGUUUGUAGAUGCCCUGGCAGUUACACGGUUCCUCAGUGGGCCCACACCAUCUGUUUUCUGUCUCUACCAGCUGUCUCUUCUCUCUCUCGCACGUGGCCCAACACGGCCACUCCAGCAGAGUCCACGUGAACCUUGCGCUCAAGGACCUACCACAACUUCACUUGCUUCUCUUCCUUCAAUCCUGCUUCCCUGACUUC
Long non-coding RNA from Acinonyx jubatus (cheetah), 2008 nucleotides. RefSeq lists it as uncharacterized. Lineage: Eukaryota; Metazoa; Chordata; Mammalia; Carnivora; Felidae. The record is from RefSeq and is a predicted model, not a curated record. The transcript has 3 exons.